AACUGACCACUGUGAUUGUCUGUGGCUAGCAAUUAAUUUCUUGAUGAACUUGAUCAGUGGUACUCAAAGCAUGAUCUGUGGUCUGGCACUGAUUUAAAAACUGCAUAUUUAUUGGCCUACAAUGAGAGAAGUACAAACUGAAUGGAUGUCUUUCCCAACAUAAUUUAUGGUCUACACACUCACCACAGCAGAGUUUAUGAGGAUAAAGAUGCUUGUCUCAUUAAUGCAGCUUAAGCUUAAGUGACUAUUCUUUCAGGUCCUGCAUACCAGUAAAACUACUGAUGCUAGCUGUUGCAUAGGACCCCAUGAGGAGCUGACUCAACAAAGAAGGCAGUUUUCAGAUCCUGAUAAUUUCAUCCCCCUAACUCUGACCAAUCAACAACCACAAUUUUCUGGACCUAUACCUUUCACAAUUCUUUUACAAAA
Molecule: long non-coding RNA, 426 nt
Organism: Symphalangus syndactylus (siamang)
Lineage: Eukaryota; Metazoa; Chordata; Mammalia; Primates; Hylobatidae
Source: RefSeq, a predicted model, not a curated record